This 429-nucleotide unclassified non-coding RNA is filed under the name Hevea brasiliensis (rubber tree). Lineage: Eukaryota; Viridiplantae; Streptophyta; Magnoliopsida; Malpighiales; Euphorbiaceae. The record is from RNAcentral.
GCUAUGAAACAGAUACCAGACUUAGAGAAGUUGAGUACGAGAAUCAGUUUUACAGCUCUAAAUAAUGCAACUGAAUCUUUCGAUGAACACAAUCUCAUCGGCUUUGGAAAGAAGGGGAAAUUGUACAAAGCAAAACUUCCUUAUUAUGAUUGUUUAGCAGCAGUUAAAAGGUUCUAUAAUUCUCGGUGUCUGGUAAAACAAUGCUUCUCUGAGCUAAUGAUUCUAGGUAAGUUUAAACAUAUUAACAUAGUUCCUCUCCUAGGCUUUUGUAUAGAAUCAACUGAAAGGCUUCUUGUAUACAAAUAUAUGCCAAACGGGAACCUUUACGAUUGGUUGCACCCCAUGAAUAAUGAGACUAAGAUCUUGGACUUCCAUUUAAGGAUUAAAAUAGCAAUUGGGGUAGCUAGAGGCUUGGUAUGGCUCCACCAU